Long non-coding RNA from Mauremys mutica (yellowpond turtle), 388 nucleotides. RefSeq lists it as uncharacterized. The transcript has 3 exons. The record is from RefSeq and is a predicted model, not a curated record. Lineage: Eukaryota; Metazoa; Chordata; Testudines; Geoemydidae.
CCGACUCAUCGGCUGGCUUAGCCUUGGUGCACCACAGCGCAACGCGCUCCCUCCGCCGGCCGGACCCAGCCAAGCGAGUCGUGCCGGCGGAUUUGGUUCUACUCGCGUUAAUCUGGAGCAAGGUCUCCUUUUUCAUCCACAGAUUGCUGCAGUAUUACAACACAUCCGAACCCACAAACCGACCCUUUUUAUCUAGAGCCCAGCGCCAUUAUAGACAGACCGAGCCCCUUCCGGCGCCGAAGGUGAUAUAUCGCAAGUUGCCAGGACCAGAGUGGAGCCUGCCUGUGCCACUCAUCACCUGGGGCCGGGGCUACGCAGCAGUGUCAACUGAAACCGGCCCUGUGUGGGUUCCCGCUCGCUUUGUGAAGCCGUGGAGAGAUGGCCUGGC